GUCAAAAAGGCCUUUCCACACUCCUAUCACUUCGCAAACAAAAAAACCAGUUCCUUUCCCAGCCUCAUAAGAACAAAUAUGGGCACAGCAGGCCCCUAUGGCACCUCCUGGUAGGGAUGUUAGUGUGGACACGAGGAUCAGGCCUGACUGCAGAGAGCUUCUUGGCCUGCUGACUGAGCCCCUUCAAUGCCUUUGGUUUGGAAACCAGAAAAUGGAUUUUUCCUGAGAUGUUAGGAAAUAAUAUUUUAACAGAGGCCUUGCUCUCUAGUCUCUGGUUUGAAGGUAUCAUUGUUUGGGUUUCUCCUUCUGAGCACAAGACUCCCCUGUUCUGUUCUAUUCUGUUCUUUUUCCCUCCCUGCAGAGAAGAGAACAGAACAGAAGAAUAACAGAAGAUACAGAGCCUGUAAUGGACUGAAUAUCUGUGUCCCCCCAAACACGCACGUUGAAAUCCUUCCCCCAGUGUGAUGCUGUUUGGAAGUGGGGCCUUUGGGAGAUGAUUGGGUCAUAGGGGUGCAGCCCUCAUGGAUGGAUGAAUGCCCUUCUAAGCCCAGGUCAGAGAGUUAGCUUGCUGUUUCUCCUCCAGGUGAGGACACAACUAGAAGCCAGCAGUCUGCAGGCUGGAAAAAGGCCCUCACCAGAACCCAACCCUUGGACUUCAGCCUCCAGAACCAUUCAUUCAGCUUUCAGAGACCAGGGAUCACCGAGUCGGGAAAGGGGAAGUACCCUGGCUUCUCUUUGGCACAUCAGCCCCUAGUUCUUGAGAGAGAAGGGCAGGGUGGUCCGCUCACCAUGUCUGUAUCCUGCCGUUCUUCACUUGACUCAUCCUGAAUUUCUAACUCUUCUUCCUCAUCCUCUUCCAUAAGGCUGAGUCUGAUGUAGGGGCAAAGAGUCAGGCUUUUCAAACUGUUCUUUGAGGACCCCUGAGAGUUUCUCAGACAGCCGGGGUGGGGGAAGUAAGUACAACAUAGUAGGUUUCCAGAUUGUGCUGACAGGAAGUGCUCUGUGGCUAAAACAAGCCCAAAAAGCACCCACAGAGAGGCAAUGGGUGAUACAGGAAUCCCCUUACAGUGGGCAACAGAUCUGAAGUGAAGACAGGAGAUGAUGAGAAAAGCUCACCGCAUCAGCUGGUUGCCCAGAUCAGGACCUGAAGGGUUGCGUGGAGUCUGGAAAUACUGUGGACCCAAGAACCUUGACCUCUGGGUGCCUGCGAGGGGCUGACUGCUGGGAAUGAAGCAGGAUCAAUGAUGGGAUAAAAAUCAAGAGGCCUUGCUGUACCUUGUUGUAGUGUUUGAAAACAUCUGAGGCUGCGUCCAUCUCCAGCACCCCAUAAAGCAACAACUUGCAGAACCCGGCCAGGAGGCGGCGCCGCUGGUGUAGCCGCUCUAUCUGUAAAUGAUCCUCCUGGGAAUCACCUGGCUCACAUGGAAGGCAGAAGGGAAUCACAGACUUAGGCUUCCUGCCCUAUACUCCUGAGCCACACCCAAGUCCCAGCCCUUACUGAGCCCCAGGUAUAGAGUCACUGCACCACUGCCCAGGUCUCCCAGCUGGAUGAAGACAUGGUCCAUGAGGAAGCUGGCUAGCUCAGACUGGAGAGUAGCUUCAGGAAAAAAGACAAGUGGCCUAAGGAAAUCACGGCCCCCGACAAUCAUCUGAGGGCUAAAGAUGAGAAGUAGAUCACUUAAUAAGACAAAAGCCUGUAGGGGGAAAAGAAAGGAUGUUUAAAAGGACAGAACGUUUCCCAAGGUAGAAAUGACACUUGUCAAUUUCUCCUUGGAAUGGGGGAUGCGGGCAGGGAUACUCGCCUUGUUGCUCCCACUUGAGUCAGUGCUCACCUGCUCCUGGAUCUCAGUAUCCACAUCUGAGAGACAACUCUGGCAGAGUUCACAGAAGGCCACCAUUCUGUCCCUCAAACUCGACAGCUGCUUCUGUGGGCACAGUGGCUUGAAAGGGAAGAAUGAAGACACAGACACCUCUGUUCCCACUCCCCCAUCUAAGACCCACACUCACCUGGGAAGCAUCUGAUUUAGAAAUGUGGGUUAGUGUCCAGAGAAUGGAAAAAUAGACAAGAGUCAAGGCUGGCAGGACAACCUGUAACAACAAAGUGUUUGAAAAAUGAGGUCAGGAGAGGGAGAGACAGAUAGGCAGACACACACCAAUGAAGAGGAGAGAAAAUGAGUAAGGGGAGAGCCAAUUCCUUUUCCAGUGGAAAAUGAAUGAUAUUACGGACACUCUUCAGAGGCUUCUAUACGAAGUAGAAAUGUCACCACUCCCUAAUUUACUCUACGUCUCCUAGAAUCCCUCAAUAUUAUCCUUGGCUUCCAGGAAAUCCAAGAAGACACUGAAAGUAGAGUCUACCUCCUAAGAGAGGAAUGUAAGAGGUGACCCCCCGACCUGAUCUUCCUCGUUUUGUCCAUUCUACACCUUGAGACUUGAUGUACCUGGUGGCCACCUAGAACAUAGGUCCUUAAAAUCUAACCCCCCAGCCCCCAACCCAUCUCUAGCCUGUCCACUCACCUGGUGAGGAACCUCUCCUGUGUCCACAGCCUUCUGCAGGAGUUGACAACAUGGUUCAUAGAGCUCCCAGCGAGUCAGGUCAUGAGCGCUUUGUGGAAGAAAGGGGAAUGUUAUACUGGAAAAGAACAGAGGGAACCAACUCCACAGACACCAGUAAAAAUGGGAUGGGAAAGAGGAGGAAAGCCACUCACUUGUAGAAGGCAGAGAGGCGUUUCAGAGUGGCUGCCAGAUUAUAUACCUCAUCCUCAUCUAGGAAGGACGACUGAGGAGGAAAGAAGAUCCACAAUAGCAUUUCCCCCAGAACUCAUCAGUCCACAUCCCCUGUCUUGCAGCCCCUCCCACCCUUGUUUGGGGUGUCCCAUUGUCCAGUCCCAGCUCCUACCUGCAGCAGCUCUUCAAGCUCCUGCUGGAAGCGGUCAGUCAGCAGAUCCACAAGUUGGCUGCGGGCAAAGUCGGCCCGGCUGAAGAAAGUGAAUUCCGGAUUACAGAGCAGGUAGAGGGCAUGGGCCCCAGCCUCGAGCACCGCUGGCUCUGCAUGCUUCACCACCACCUCCUGGAGUUGCUGCAGGAACAGCUCCAGGUGCUGAGAAGAAAAGGCAGAAGAUGGUGUGCUGUGGGGGUGGGAGGAGGGCACUCUUCUGGAGGGAAGUGGAACAGGGUUAAAAACAUUAAACAUCAAGGAUAAGAUGCCUAAGAAAA
Molecule: non-coding RNA, 3213 nt
Organism: Chlorocebus sabaeus (green monkey)
Lineage: Eukaryota; Metazoa; Chordata; Mammalia; Primates; Cercopithecidae
Source: RefSeq, a predicted model, not a curated record